AUGGUGGAGCCCGCAGGAGCGACGCCUCUCCUCCCUGGCCUCCCGGAUGAGAUCUCCGUCUGGGAGAUCCUCCUCCGCCUGCCCCCCAAAUGCAUGCUCCGCUGCCGCGCCGUCUGCCCGGCGUGGCGCCGCGUCACCUCCGCCCGCGGCUUCCUCCUCGCCCACCACGCCCGCCAGCCCGUCCUUCCACUCCUCUACGGCUACAACUUCGUCGGCGACGACAUCGAGUCCCUCAGCAUCGUCCCUUUCGACCACCGGGCAGGGGUCGCCACCGCCGACCAGCUCCAUGCCAUCGCUCGCCUUGCACACGACUCCUCCCGUCUAGAUGCCUGCUUCAUUCUCGUGGCAUGCUGCGACGGCCUCCUCGUCCUCUCCGCCCACCACCCGCUCAAGUUCUUCAUCUGCAACCCGGCAACUCGGCAGUUUGCACCCCUCCCGCAGCUUGAUGACUUCAUCCUCCUGGGGAUGUACCCUCACCCCCCUACUGGCCAGUACCGACUACUGCUAUACCUGCUCCCCACGGAUCUGGCACCGGAAGCUCAGGAUGGCUCCUACGUCUUCACAUUGGGCUCCGGCCAGCCGCCGAGGCACAUAGCGUGCCCUGAGGCCAAGGAACUGAGACACUCCCCCGAGUCUAUCCUGUUUCGUGGUUGUCUGCAUUGGUGCAUAGGCAAUCUGAUGAUGGCAUUUGACACCAUCGCUGAGUCAUUCCGGCAGGUGCGCUCUCCGGUUGGUCCUGGCUACUCUCACCUGAUUGAGAUGGGUAACAUGCUUGGCAUCUCCAGUCUUAGUGACACAGCAACAAGUGUUGAUAUCUGGGUUAUGCCGGACUAUGAAGGCGAGGUCUGGACCUUCAAAUACCGGGUUGAGCUGCCGGUCACAGAGAUCAAGGAGCAAUUUGGAAAGUCUGUUGAUUAUUGGUAUGUGGUGGCCAUGCCUUGGGAUGAUGAUGUGCUCCUACUGGUCAAAUUUGAUGACUGUCUGCUUCAGGUUGACAUUCAUGGCAAAUUGUUUGCCAGUUUCCAUUGCAGAGGCCUUGGUCCUACAAAUCUUCGGAUCAAGCAAACUCUUGUUCAACAUGCCUUCUUUCCGACACUAGAGGGUUAUGUUGUGAACUCUUCGCGUUUCGUCUGA
RNAcentral lists this ribosomal RNA (1134 nucleotides) under Triticum aestivum (bread wheat). Its description in RNAcentral is "partial small subunit ribosomal RNA". Lineage: Eukaryota; Viridiplantae; Streptophyta; Magnoliopsida; Poales; Poaceae. The record is from RNAcentral.